CGUAAUGCCAUUAAUUUGGUGUUGCGGGGAAUUUGGACUGUUACUUUGAAAAAAUUAGAGUGUUUAAAGCAAGCUAACGCUUGAAUACAUUAGCAUGGAAUAAUGAAAUAGGACGUUCGAUCCUAUUUUGUUGGUUUCUAGGAUUGACGUAAUGAUUAAUAGGGAUAGUUGGGGGCAUUAGUAUUCAAUUGUCAGAGGUGAAAUUCUUGGAUUUAUCGAAGACUAACUACUGCGAAAGCAUUUGCCAAGGAUGUUUUCAUUAAUCAAGAACGAAAGUUAGGGGAUCGAAGACGAUCAGAUACCGUCGUAGUCUUAACCAUAAACUAUGCCGACUAGGGAUCGGAUGAUGUUAAUUUUUUAAUGACUCAUUCGGCGCCUUACGGGAAACCAAAGUGUUUGGGUUCCGGGGGGAGUAUGGUCGCAAGGCUGAAACUUAAAGGAAUUGACGGAAGGGCACCACCAGGCGUGGAGCCUGCG
This 477-nucleotide ribosomal RNA is filed under the name uncultured Glomeromycotina. RNAcentral describes it as "SSU rRNA". It matches the Rfam family "Eukaryotic small subunit ribosomal RNA", at positions 712 to 1187 of the family's 1831-position model. Lineage: Eukaryota; Fungi; Glomeromycota. The record is from RNAcentral.